Molecule: ribosomal RNA, 1442 nt
Filed under: uncultured organism
Description: partial small subunit ribosomal RNA
Rfam family: Bacterial small subunit ribosomal RNA
Source: RNAcentral
GGCGGCGUGCUUAACACAUGCAAGUCGAACGGAAAGGCCCUGCUUUUGUGGGGUGCUCGAGUGGCGAACGGGUGAGUAACACGUGAGUAACCUGCCCUUGACUUUGGGAUAACUUCAGGAAACUGGGGCUAAUACCGGAUAGGAGCUCCUGCUGCAUGGUGGGGGUUGGAAAGUUUCGGCGGUUGGGGAUGGACUCGCGGCUUAUCAGCUUGUUGGUGGGGUAGUGGCUUACCAAGGCUUUGACGGGUAGCCGGCCUGAGAGGGUGACCGGCCACAUUGGGACUGAGAUACGGCCCAGACUCCUACGGGAGGCAGCAGUGGGGAAUAUUGCACAAUGGGCGGAAGCCUGAUGCAGCAACGCCGCGUGCGGGAUGACGGCCUUCGGGUUGUAAACCGCUUUCGCCUGUGACGAAGCGUGAGUGACGGUAAUGGGUAAAGAAGCACCGGCUAACUACGUGCCAGCAGCCGCGGUGAUACGUAGGGUGCGAGCGUUGUCCGGAUUUAUUGGGCGUAAAGGGCUCGUAGGUGGUUGAUCGCGUCGGAAGUGUAAUCUUGGGGCUUAACCCUGAGCGUGCUUUCGAUACGGGUUGACUUGAGGAAGGUAGGGGAGAAUGGAAUUCCUGGUGGAGCGGUGGAAUGCGCAGAUAUCAGGAGGAACACCAGUGGCGAAGGCGGUUCUCUGGGCCUUUCCUGACGCUGAGGAGCGAAAGCGUGGGGAGCGAACAGGCUUAGAUACCCUGGUAGUCCACGCUGUAAACGGUGGGUACUAGGUGUGGGGUCCAUUCCACGGGUUCCGUGCCGUAGCUAACGCUUUAAGUACCCCGCCUGGGGAGUACGGCCGCAAGGCUAAAACUCAAAGGAAUUGACGGGGCCCCGCACAAGCGGCGGAGCAUGCGGAUUAAUUCGAUGCAACGCGUAGAACCUUACCUGGGUUUGACAUGGAUCGGGAGUGCUCAGAGAUGGGUGUGCCUCUUUUGGGGUCGGUUCACAGGUGGUGCAUGGCUGUCGUCAGCUCGUGUCGUGAGAUGUUGGGUUAAGUCCCGCAACGAGCGCAACCCUUGUUCACUGUUGCCAGCACGUUAUGGUGGGGACUCAGUGGAGACCGCCGGGGUCAACUCGGAGGAAGGUGGGGAUGACGUCAAGUCAUCAUGCCCCUUAUGUCCAGGGCUUCACGCAUGCUACAAUGGCUGGUACAGAGAGUGGCGAGCCUGUGAGGGUGAGCGAAUCUCGGAAAGCCGGUCUCAGUUCGGAUUGGGGUCUGCAACUCGACCUCAUGAAGUCGGAGUCGCUAGUAAUCGCAGAUCAGCAACGCUGCGGUGAAUACGUUCCCGGGGCUUGUACACACCGCCCGUCAAGUCAUGAAAGUUGGUAACACCCGAAGCCGGUGGCCUAACCGUUGUGGGGGAGCCGUCGAAGGUGGGACUGGUGAUUAGGACUAAGAC